GAAUGCUGACAUAAGUAACGAUAAAGCGGGUGAAAAGCCCGCUCGCCGGAAGACCAAGGGUUCCUGUCCAACGUUAAUCGGGGCAGGGUGAGUCGACCCCUAAGGCGAGGCCGAAAGGCGUAGUCGAUGGGAAACGGGUUAAUAUUCCCGUACUUGGUGUUACUGCGAAGGGGGGACGGAGAAGGCUAUGUUGGCCGGGCGACGGUUGUCCCGGUUUAAGCGUGUAGGUGUGUGUUCCAGGUAAAUCCGGUUCACUUUAACACUGAGGCGUGACGACGAGGCACUACGGUGCUGAAGCAACAAAUGCCCUGCUUCCAGGAAAAGCCUCUAAGCAUCAGGUAACACGAAAUCGUACCCCAAACCGACACAGGUGGUCAGGUAGAGAAUACCAAGGCGCUUGAGAGAACUCGGGUGA
RNAcentral lists this ribosomal RNA (415 nucleotides) under Salmonella enterica subsp. enterica. RNAcentral's name for it is "partial 23S ribosomal RNA". It matches the Rfam family "Bacterial large subunit ribosomal RNA", at positions 1292 to 1707 of the family's 2925-position model. Lineage: Bacteria; Pseudomonadati; Pseudomonadota; Gammaproteobacteria; Enterobacterales; Enterobacteriaceae. The record is from RNAcentral. RNAcentral also lists the same sequence under 1 other name.